CUCCAGACUCCUACGGGAGGCAGCAGUGGGGAAUAUUGCACAAUGGGGGAAACCCUGAUGCAGCAACGCCGCGUGAGUGAAGAAGUAUUUCGAUAUGUAAAGCUCUAUCAGCAGGGAAGAAGAUGACGGUACCUGAUUAAGAAGCCCCGGCUAACUACGUGCCAGCAGCCGCGGUAAUACGUAGGGGGCAAGCGUUAUCCGGAUUUACUGGGUGUAAAGGGGGCGCAGACGGCGAUGCAAGCCAGGAGUGAAAGCCCGGGGCCCAACCCCGGGACUGCUCUUGGAACUGCGUGGCUGGAGUGCAGGAGGGGCAGGCGGAAUUCCUGGUGUAGCGGUGAAAUGCGUAGAUAUCAGGAGGAACACCGGUGGCGAAGGCGGCCUGCUGGACUGAAACUGACGUUGAGGCCCGAAAGCGUGGGAGCAAACAGGAUUAGAUACCCCUGUAC
This 446-nucleotide ribosomal RNA is filed under the name uncultured bacterium. RNAcentral's name for it is "partial 16S ribosomal RNA". It matches the Rfam family "Bacterial small subunit ribosomal RNA", at positions 329 to 793 of the family's 1533-position model. The record is from RNAcentral.